Molecule: non-coding RNA, 553 nt
Organism: Lupinus albus (white lupine)
Lineage: Eukaryota; Viridiplantae; Streptophyta; Magnoliopsida; Fabales; Fabaceae
Source: the annotation of a GenBank genome assembly
UUAAAAGUAUGACUCUUUAUCAUUCGCUACGACUUUAUUAAAAAACAAAAAACAAGAAAGCAAAGAUACCAGAAAUUCUUUUCAUAGGGAAAAAACCACUAAGAAAUCCUUGAUGAGUGGACAACAACAUAGACACCAAUGCAUAUUGAAGGGAUACAAAAAUUAAAGUGGAGAAGGUGCUUGAAGGUUUAAGUCCUGUCAUAACUGCUGAAUGGAUGAAUCCUGGGUCAUGCCAUCCAAAAUCCUUGGCAGGACUUGGAACAUCAGCAGUACCUGUUAUUUUCGGAUGGAAUAUAUAAUCAUAAUUGAAUCUGUGCUUGAGAGAUGUCCAUAAAGUGGCAUCUUAGGAUUUUCAAACUUUAUAGGUAUGGACCUUGCUACCAAGCAGGGGCUCAGAUAUCCACCAGUGAAGAAUGCAAACUCAAUCUCACUUCUAAUGUUUACAACAUGAAACUUUAGUGAACCACUGCACCCUUUAUGUUUGCAACUCAGGUACUGUGGAUCAUUUUUCAUAAAUUGUGCCUGCAUUUUCAAUGUACAACAUUACUACUAC